AUGCGUGUCAUGUGGCCCCCGGCCCACACCACUGCUGCGCCUGUCCUCGGGGAGGGGAGCGUCCUCCCACCGGGGCCGGGGAGGGGUGAGAGUAAGGGCGCGGGGGUUGCUGCUGGCCAGGGGGGACUGACACCCCCCCCACCCUGUCCCACCGAGGCUGGUCUUCUCCUUUCGAGUAGAGCGUGGUCCGUCCAGGGCGCGCCUGCCCUGCUGCCCUCGGUGUCCCGACCUCCAGGAUGCAGUGGGCAGGACUCGGAUGUCCCUCCCUGGGACCGAGAACGGGUGCGUGGUGUUCUGUUCAAUGUGGCCAGCAGCACCCCACUCUCCCCGCCCGCCCGAGCCAACAGGGUCCUUUCAGAGUGUAGGUCAGACCGCCAAGCCCUCCAGCGGCCCCAGCGCACUCAGAACAGGCCAAAGUCCCCACAUGCCCUCCUAACCCUUUGCUACCGGGUCCCUGCUGCCCUUCUGACCUCAUUCUUUCCUCCCUCCCUUGGUUCCAGCCACGCCGGCCUCCUGACUGUGCCCGGAAACAGGCUGGGCAGGCACACACAUGCUCAAGCCUUCCCGCGAGCUGUUCCCCUGCCUGGAAGCUCUCACAUCAAAGGGAAUCGCCUGGUACUUGGGGCUUUUUUCCCCCUGAUGUUGGCAGCCCCAGCAGCUAGAGGACUCCCAGCUCCCACAGGCUCUUGGUUGCUUGUUGAACGAAUGCUAGAAUGUCAGUUAGGAGACCUGCUGUUUGGAGAGGGGGCACCCCACUGGGGGCCCUCGCUGUCCCUGGGCCUCGGAUCAGGGCCCUGCUCUUGCAGGGCAGCCGUCCGGUUCCCGGGGCCACUUGGCCUGCAGGUUCGGGGAGCCAGUGUAGCUGGGAGGUUCAGUCGCCGUCCCCCGAAGCCGGAGCAGCCCCCGGCCAAUGACCAGAAAGUCCAGCUCCCCUGCUUCGCCUCAAGCCAGACACUGCAUUCAGGGUCUGCUUCUGGGGACCCCGACAUAAGACAGGGGCCCUCUCUGCACGACCUAAGACAGGGGCCCUCUCUGCACCCCUCGUAA
RNAcentral lists this long non-coding RNA (1047 nucleotides) under Canis lupus familiaris (dog). RNAcentral's name for it is "lncRNA (ENSCAFG00000058395.1)". Lineage: Eukaryota; Metazoa; Chordata; Mammalia; Carnivora; Canidae. The record is from RNAcentral.